AUGCAAGUCGAGCGGGGGAAGGUAGCUUGCUACCGGACCUAGCGGCGGACGGGUGAGUAAUGCUUAGGAAUCUGCCUAUUAGUGGGGGACAACAUCUCGAAAGGGAUGCUAAUACCGCAUACGUCCUACGGGAGAAAGCAGGGGAUCUUCGGACCUUGCGCUAAUAGAUGAGCCUAAGUCGGAUUAGCUAGUUGGUGGGGUAAAGGCCUACCAAGGCGACGAUCUGUAGCGGGUCUGAGAGGAUGAUCCGCCACACUGGGACUGAGACACGGCCCAGACUCCUACGGGAGGCAGCAGUGGGGAAUAUUGGACAAUGGGGGGAACCCUGAUCCAGCCAUGCCGCGUGUGUGAAGAAGGCCUUAUGGUUGUAAAGCACUUUAAGCGAGGAGGAGGCUACUUUAGUUAAUACCUAGAGAUAGUGGACGUUACUCGCAGAAUAAGCACCGGCUAACUCUGUGCCAGCAGCCGCGGUAAUACAG
Molecule: ribosomal RNA, 479 nt
Filed under: Acinetobacter baumannii Naval-18
Lineage: Bacteria; Pseudomonadati; Pseudomonadota; Gammaproteobacteria; Moraxellales; Moraxellaceae
Description: bacterial SSU rRNA
Rfam family: Bacterial small subunit ribosomal RNA
Source: RNAcentral